ACUUAAAUAGCUUAUCGAGAGCGUAAUAUUGAAGAUAUUAAGGAAAUAGUUUUUAUUUUUAGGUA
Molecule: transfer RNA, 65 nt
Filed under: Ptosima chinensis
Lineage: Eukaryota; Metazoa; Arthropoda; Insecta; Coleoptera; Buprestidae
Description: tRNA-Phe
Source: RNAcentral